RNAcentral lists this transfer RNA (85 nucleotides) under Coriobacteriia bacterium. RNAcentral describes it as "tRNA-Leu". It matches the Rfam family "tRNA". Rfam says of the family: Transfer RNA (tRNA) molecules are approximately 80 nucleotides in length. Their secondary structure includes four short double-helical elements and three loops (D, anti-codon, and T loops). Lineage: Bacteria; Bacillati; Actinomycetota; Coriobacteriia. The record is from RNAcentral.
GGGGGUAUGGCGAAAUUGGCAGACGCAGCGGACUUAAAAUCCGCCGCCUUCGGGCUUGUGGGUUCGAGUCCCACUACCCCUACCA